CCAUGGAUUUAUAUAGAGGUAAUAUGAUAUUUUCUGUCUUAUUAUCUAUCCCUUUCUUAAUGAUUCCCAACAUUCUUGAUUCUUUUAUUAGAAAUUCAGAGCUUGUUUACCCUGAAAGAUUCUGUGGACCACCGGAGAACUGUUAGGAUUAUGACAGCGCAGAACGAAGGUGUGAAAUCAGAUUAAUUGAGAGAGGAGGUAAUUUUUAGUCAGGCUCUUUAGAGUUCUUGGGGUUUGAUUGCUUCUUGUAAACUCCUGUUUAAUGCAGUUGCCCAAACAACUCUUGAAACAAAUAUCUUUGCUAAAGAAUCAACACUUUGCUCCCUUUGGCCAAUGGAGCUUUUAAUCCACAUCUCUGAGACUACCCCUACUCCCCUCCCAAGUUCUAUGACAAAGGGAAGAAUAGGCCUGACAGUCCUUAUAUUGCUAAGGUGAAAAGUGUGGUGGGGGGAACCCUUAAAGAUGUCUCUCAUUCCUUCAUAUGUGAUAAAGUAACAAUACAUAAAUAAUGUAAAUAAAAUAGGGGGCAUAACCCCCUUUUUUCUCCCCUUUUGCAGAUCAUUGCUAAAGGGGAUAAACUGAAUCAUACAAAUGUAUGGCCAGAUUUUGAGCUGGUGUAAAUCAGUAUCGUUAUGGCAACUGAAAUGGAGCUACACCAAUUUACAGCAGCUGAGGAUCUCUACCAUAAUUUUUGUUUAAAAGUUUUUCUUCCGGUGUUACAAGAUUUUCCUACAACUCUCAGAAACAUCUGAAGAUGUGAUGUCAAAACAGUGGUGUCCCACCCUUGUCUGGAGCCACUAACUACAAAGGACUCUAGAAUUAGACAGAAACAAUUCUCUGCUCUGGUAGCUGUUUGUGUAAACCUUGCUUAUCUCUACGAUCUGGCCAGCAAUGUUAAAUUACACUCUGUGUAAUGUAUAGUUAGGCGCAGACAAUUAAAUACCAAUGAAAAUGGUAUCCCAGCCAACAGGGCAGAAGAGAAGCAGUCAUAAUCCACUUGGCAGCUGGGGGAGACAGGCAGAAAAUAUUAACCUUCCUCUUAUGCCUUUUCUCUAACCUCCAUUUUAUCUCUGUCUGUCUGUCUUGUCUUGCCGGCAUUGUCUGCACAGCAAAACUUAAACCCCUACCUAGCACGACUGCCAGUAAUUGAUUUGGCUGAAUUACUACUGAGCAUGCUAAAGAUGCAAGUAGAGACAAAGAAACUGUGUUCAGCUAUUGUGCUGAAGCCCAAAUUCUAAGCAUGGUCCUUCCUCAUCCUCACUCGAAGUCUGACUGCACUCAGGACCAGUUUAUGUAAACCAGUGGCUGACAACACGUUCAGUGGCCCCUUAAUAUUACAGUCCAGACAAGUCUUCUAGCUUUCAUUGAUUGGUUUCUAGCAUGAAAAGCCCACUGGGCUCCUCAUCCCAUCCCAGUAAGGAAGUGUCUUGACUGCCGAGGAAUGAUAAAACUACGUCUAAAGGGCCCUAUCCAGUGUCCGCUAAAGUUAGUGGGAUUGUUUUCAGUGAGAUUGGAUCAGAGCAAGAGCACAAGGAGAGUUGGUCUCCUACUGAAGUCAAUGGAAAGGUUCUGUAAGGUACUUCCUAUCAGUGAUCAGAGUUCACACACGAGGUCUGAUUGCCAGGAGAUCCAAUCCAAGGGGACGAGGCAGCGAGGCAGCUGGUAGGGUCAGGUGAGGCAGCAACACAGGGUCAGGAGCAGUGACAAGGCAGGGUCAGGUGGGUCUGAGUAGCAACUAGUGGGAAAUUGCUCAGACAAGUCCAGAAAGGAAGAAGGAAGUUUAUAUAUAACCACUAGCCAAUCAGGGUCAAGACUAUGUGGCCAACCAGGAGGCGGGUUGUAGAGCCCUGGACGCUGACCUAGCCAAGGAAUUUGCUGGUAAUCCGAUGUGUCGGGUGUCCCAACGGCCACUGUUGCUUCCCAAAAAUCCAGUGGGCCUGGGUUUGAGACCAGGGUCCUGACAGGUUUCCAUUGAUUUCAACAGAUGCUGGCCCUUAAGCCUUAGUUGAUUUUCAUUGGGAGUGGGGUGCCAAACUCACUUAGGCCCUUUGGAAAAUCCUAGACCUAAAGCCAUUUCCUGCAUGAGAGUUCUGUACGUUAUUAGUUCUAUUGUUCCAGACCGAGAUACUCUGUGGGCAUCAGGAAUUUAGUUGCCUUGUAAACUAACCAUGAAUUGAGACCAUCCGUAAUCUUUCGCCUCCUGUUGGAGCCAGGGUUUAUCAUUAGGCUGAACUUUCACGCAAGAAAGGGAUGUGAAGGCAGGCGUGUCCAGUAUUCCCACAAAUAUAAUUCCAUAUGCAUGCAAUGCUGUCUCCUAUUCACCAAGCCCCAACCUAUGUCACAUUCAAGUCCCUCCUUAAGAUUCACUUCACUUCUCCCACAAUACCCAUAAGAAGAGAACUGUGUCAAAUAUUUUAAGACAUCAAAACCCUCCUGUGAGUUGUUUCUUCUUCUCGGCUUCCCAGUAAAUCCCAUUUUCUCCAUAUGGUAGGAAGUAACCCAGGGAAGCGAACUUGGACUUGCUGCAUGGAGGACCCAGCCAGUAUUGCUUCCCACAAGUCCCUGGGCUGAAACUCGGUGGAGAGGGAGGCCAUGGGUCCCCCACCUCACCUCUUAAGGACUGAGGCCCAGAUGCUGGUGGAAAACCGAAGAUUCCUGGCUUAAGGUCAGGAACAGGCACCACUACCAUCCUGAGAGAGGGGCACAUGGCCAGAAGUCGGGUGUGCUAACCACUAGGCUACUCGGCCUUCUAAGCCCCCUAUCAUAAUGAGCUUGACUAGAAAGUGUGCUCUAGUGGCUGAAGCAAGGACAAGGCAACAGAAUUCUUAAGUUUUAUUCCUGUCUCUGCCACUGAUUUUCUGUCUGGUCUUGGCCAAGUCACUUCUCUGCAUCUCAGUUCACCAAUUUGUAAAACAGAGGGAACCAUUUGGAUCCAUCUUUACCAUAGGUCUUGGGAGGUUUAAUGCAUUAGUGUUUAUGAAGUACUUUGCAAGUCUUGAAUGGAAGUGCCCAAGAUAUGCAUAGGAAGUUACAUGUGCUAUCAAAUAGUGAAUAAUUCUUAGCAAAUAAUGUAUUCCAGUUCUUUCUGUUUACAAAUUGUCCAUAAACAGCUGCUGAUUUUCUCAUAUUGAUGUGUUGUUGCCAGUUAAUGUGAGUGACUAGCCUUUGGCCCAGAGCGUGUUUCAUGAGCAAAUUGUAGUUAGUGUCCAACGUUUGAAUUAUAAGCCAUGGUGGUUGAGCAUGACCUAUGAGCUCCUUAGUGCUCAGACUCCAGUUCACAUAUUCAAAAUUAAUUUUCUAUGGAUAGUUACUUAAAAUUCACCACCUCCAUGUACAUUUCAUGCCUGCAAACUCAUUCACUAGGAGAGUUACAGAAAGUGAAUGCAAAAAAAGGGGCACAAAUGUAUCCAGAGUGAAUUCUGCUUUUUAUUCCCAAUAUGCAUGGAAAACAGUUUUCAGGUACUUGUCGAGUUCUGCUACCAAGUUCUCAUACAAAACAUCCAGCCCACUUCAGAACAUCUCCCACAGAACCAACUCUGCAUCUUCUGGAGAGGCCCCUACACCCACGGUAUAUCCCAUGAGGAGACGUCUAGCUCCCAGUCUGUGGUCACUUUAUGCCAGCGAAACUGAUGCAAAGUGGCCACACCACUGGAUGUUGUACCUCCAUCCGUCACGUGAGGAUAAUAUAUGCCUGAUCCAUUGGAUGCUGUGAGACUCAGUGCACUAUAAAGUGUUUUGAGAUCCUUGGAAGAAAAGGUGCUAUAAGUCACUGAAACGUAUUUUAUUUAUAUUUCAAUAAUAAUGUGAGCUCUUUACUAAUAACAUAAUAUGAGCAAAAAGAAAAGGAGUACUUGUGGCACCUUAGAGACUAACCAAUUUAAUUGAGCAUGAGCUUUCGUGAGCUACAGCAUGUUUCAUGCACUAUGGUGGCCUCUGUAGAGACAUCAACCCUGCUAUGAAGGUCCAGAUCUAUAGAACCAUGGUUACACAUCAAUGCUAUCAUACAGCAGUGAAACGUGGGCAUGGAGGAAGGUCAAGAACACCAGAUUGUUUUUGUUGUCUUCCUCAGCUGCUUCAUAUUAAAUGGCAGGACAAGAUCAGAAAUGAGGAUUUUUGUAGCUAAACCCACCUACCACCUCCAUCAGCACUCGCUUGGUUUCAGUGGCUUUCUUUGUACAGGCAUAUUACUAGGAUAAAAGACCAACGAAUUCUGAAGCAUGUCUGACGAGGAAUGCUGCUCCAUGGCCGAUGAGCAUGGAUUUGUUCACCAAAAGCUUUGAUGGCGCAAUAAGAUUCCCAAUGAUGGACAUUAAAUGGUCUGGCUGGAUUUUCAGUUUUAAGGACCUACCUAGAGAUCGACCUGCAUGGCAUUUGAUCUGCCAGGAGGCUAUGUCCCUUUGGGAUUUGCCAUGAUGCCAGAUUACUCCAUAAUCUGAAGUAACCAGACAUGAGCAAAAUAGUAUCCAAACCCUGCUAAACUUUGAGGGUUCUGAUUAAAUGUACCUCGGAUCUGAACUGUCCCUUGUUUCACCCGUCUCUACAAAUAACUUCAGCUUGGGUAUCAUAGAAUCCUAGAAUAUCAGGGUUGGAAGGGACCUCAGGAGGUCAUCUAGUCCAACCCCCUGCUCAAAGCAGGACCAAUCCCCAACUAAAUCAUCCAAAUUAGAUGGUAGAUGGGUGCACAUUUAAAUAUCACGGACCUGAUCCUGCUAUUACUGAAGCUUUGUUUCUUUGCUGUUCCCCAGCAGGUGCUGCUAAAUACUUUAUCUCCUUUGGGUCUGAAGAUGCUACUUGUGUAAUGAGAGGAGAUCCAAUUACAGGGUUAUCCAAUUUACCUUCCCAAAAGCUUGCAGGGUCAAACCCAGGCCCUGGCUCAGAACAUUGCGGAGAAGUGUAGACUCAGAUCUGAACCACACAGCUGGCAAAUGAGCAGCACACGCAGAACUCUCCGCUUCAGGGCCUCCACAAGAAACACUUGUUAAAUUGGAGCAGGGUUUUCCGAGGCCAGGUAGGUAAGCACGUAUUCCUUUAUCUUCCGAACACCGCUCUGAGCCUGGAGUUAGGUCAGUUUUGGGGGCAGAGUUCAGUUCCUGUUCCAUAAAGAAACAGAAGCUUCCAGACUUACGGCCUGCCAAGCACAGAGCAUUUGUGUAUGACAUGAAUUAGUCUCUUCCUUGUCCUUCAUAACUAGUAACUGUGGAACAUUGGGCUGUGAGGUCUAUGGCCAGUAUAUUAUCAGGCUUCCCCUAAUGUUAACUUCCAGACCUUGAUUGUGAUGGCUUAUUUAGCCAUAUUAUCAUUAUUAUUUGAAUUCCCAGAGCAUCUAGAGGCUUCCGGUCAGGAUCAGGGCCCCACUAUGUUGGAUGACAUUGAACAAAUAACAGUCCCUACCCCAGACAGUUCUCAGUCUCAGAACUCACUGCCGCCGCCUUCAUCUUGAAAUCUCAAAGGCCUCUGUUGUCUGGAGAGACAGAGGCCAUUUUGUGUUUAAAAUUGGUGUGUGUUUCACUGCUUUCCCACUUGCACCUGACGUGUAAUGUGCCUCACCAUUUAGGUCCUUGCUGAGUUGGACCGUCUCCUGUGCUGUCCAGCUGUUGCUCGCGAAAUAAGGAGGAGCUACAUUUCAAAAUUCACUUAAAAGCAAUAUCAAAAAACCCGGAAAGGCUUUGAUCUUUCUAAAUAUUCCCUUUGUUCUGUCAUUCGGCAAUUCCUGUGUGCUUCAAAGGUAAGGUAACAAUCCACUCUCUGUACUCUUCCCUGAACUGUGGUCAUAAACUCACCCCUGACAUACAGUUUAAAUAACCCAGAGCCCUACAACCUUCAAAUCAAGUAAUGAAGAUCUUUCCACUGUUCAUUUUGUUAGAUUAAUAAAAGGCUACAAUUUU
Molecule: long non-coding RNA, 5885 nt
Organism: Chelonia mydas (Green sea turtle)
Lineage: Eukaryota; Metazoa; Chordata; Testudines; Cheloniidae
Exons: 2
Source: RefSeq, a predicted model, not a curated record